GCUGGCGGCGUGCUUAACACAUGCAAGUCGAACGGAGUUGUCUCGCUGAUGAAGCUUCGGCAGAAUCUUGAGACAACUUAGUGGCGGACGGGUGAGUAACGCGUGGGUAACCUGCCCUUUACCGGGGGACAACAGUUGGAAGCGGCUGCUAAUACCGCAUAAGCGCACAGCAUCGCAUGAUGCAGUGUGAAAAACUCCGGUGGUAAAGGAUGGACCCGCGUCUGAUUAGCCAGUUGGCGGGGUAACGGCCCACCAAAGCGACGAUCAGUAGCCGGCCUGAGAGGGUGAACGGCCACAUUGGGACUGAGACACGGCCCAAACUCCUACGGGAGGCAGCAGUGGGGAAUAUUGCACAAUGGGGGAAACCCUGAUGCAGCGACGCCGCGUGAGUGAAGAAGUAUUUCGGUAUGUAAAGCUCUAUCAGCAGGAAAGAAAAUGACGGUACCUGACUAAGAAGCCCCGGCUAACUACGUGCCAGCAGCCGCGGUAAUACGUAGGGGGCAAGCGUUAUCCGGAUUUACUGGGUGUAAAGGGAGCGUAGACGGUAUUGUAAGUCUGAAGUGAAAUGCUGGGGCUCAACCCCGGAACUGCUUUGGAAACUGUAGUACUAGAGUGCAGGAGAGGUAAGCGGAAUUCCUAGUGUAGCGGUGAAAUGCGUAGAUAUUAGGAGGAACACCAGAGGCGAAGGCGGCUUACUGGACUGUAACUGACGUUGAGGCUCGAAGGCGUGGGGAGCAAACAGGAUUAGAUACCCUGGUAGUCCACGCGGUAAACGAUGAUCACUAGGUGUUGGCAUCCAAAG
Molecule: ribosomal RNA, 802 nt
Filed under: uncultured bacterium
Lineage: Bacteria
Description: bacterial SSU rRNA
Rfam family: Bacterial small subunit ribosomal RNA
Source: RNAcentral